Molecule: ribosomal RNA, 492 nt
Filed under: uncultured bacterium
Lineage: Bacteria
Description: partial 16S ribosomal RNA
Rfam family: Bacterial small subunit ribosomal RNA
Source: RNAcentral
AGUGAACGCUGGCGGUAGGCCUAACACAUGCAAGUCGAACGGCAGCACAGUAAGAGCUUGCUCUUACGGGUGGCGAGUGGCGGACGGGUGAGGAAUACAUCGGAAUCUACUUUUUCGUGGGGGAUAACGUAGGGAAACUUACGCUAAUACCGCAUACGACCUACGGGUGAAAGCAGGGGAUCUUCGGACCUUGCGCGAUUGAAUGAGCCGAUGUCGGAUUAGCUAGUUGGCGGGGUAAAGGCCCACCAAGGCGACGAUCCGUAGCUGGUCUGAGAGGAUGGUCAGCCACACUGGAAGUGAGACACGGUCCAGACACCUACAGGAGGCCACAGUGGAGAAUAUUGGACAAGGGACGCGAGCCUGAUCCAGCCAUACCGCGUGGGUGAAGAAGGACUUCGGGUUGUAAAGCCCUUUUGUUGGGAGAGAAGAGCAGCAGGUUAAUACCCCGCUGUUCUGACGGUACCCAAAGAAUAAGCACCGGCUAACUUCGUG